AUACAGCUUAUGGCAACUUUAUUAUGAAUGUCCACAUAAAUAAAAGAUUUCCCUUUCAACUGUUUGCAGUUAAUAAUUCCGCUUUAUGACUCUUAACUGUAACUAACAGCAUAAAGAAACCGUUUUGUAUUCCAAUAUGACUGUAACCGUGUCCACUUUAUACAUCGAACUUGUAUUGUGAUUUAUACUACAACAAAAAUAUCCCAUAUACCUUUCAAAUUAGUCCAAGUAAAAUAGAAAAAGCACAGCUUUUAUCUUUACAAGCAAUUUCAGAGAGUAAACGAAGUGCUAUUAUUAAAGCGCAUUAAAACACACGUACGAGCAAGGUAAGAAAGCAAAACGAAGUGCUAUUAUUAAUGCGCAUUAAAACACACGUUCGAAAGCAAGGUGAGAAAAUAAAACGAAGUGCUAUUAUUAAAGCGCACUCAAACACGUUCGAGCAAGGUGAGAAAGUAAAACGAAGUGCUAUUAUUAAAGCGCACUCAAACACGUUCGAGCAAGGUGAGAAAGUAAAACGAAGUGCUAUUAUUAAAGCGCACUCAAACACGUUCGAGCAAGGUGAGAAAGUAGAACGAAGUGCUAUUAUUAAAGCGCACUCAAACACGUUCGAGCAAGGUAAGAAAGUAGAACGAAGUGCUAUUAUUAAAGCGCAUUCAAAUACGUUCGAGCAAGGUGAGAAAGUAGAACGAAGUGCUAUUAUUAAAGCGCAUUCAAAUACGUUCGAGUAAGGUGUGAAAGUAGAACGAAGUGCUAGUAUUAAAGCGCACUCAAACACGUUCGAGCAAGGUG
Long non-coding RNA from Haliotis rubra (blacklip abalone), 789 nucleotides. RefSeq lists it as uncharacterized. Lineage: Eukaryota; Metazoa; Mollusca; Gastropoda; Lepetellida; Haliotidae. The record is from RefSeq and is a predicted model, not a curated record. The transcript has 2 exons.